RNAcentral lists this ribosomal RNA (315 nucleotides) under uncultured eukaryote. RNAcentral describes it as "partial large subunit ribosomal RNA". It matches the Rfam family "Eukaryotic large subunit ribosomal RNA", at positions 40 to 347 of the family's 3401-position model. The record is from RNAcentral.
AUAUCAAUAAGCGGAGGAAAAGAACUAACAAGGAUUCCCUUAGUAAUGGCGAAUGAAACGGGAAGAGCCCAUCGUCGAAUCGCAAGUCGUUCUGGCUUUGUGAAAUGUGACGUUUGGGAGGGUCUUCCACAGCUCAGACGAUCAGUCAAAGUCCAACUUGACAGUGGCCACAGUCCGUAGAGGGUGAUAGGCCCGUAAGGCGGUUGUCUGGCUGUGCUGACCUCUCUCUAGAGUCGGAUUGCUUGGGAGUGCAGUCCAAAGUGCGAGGUAAACUCCUCGUAAGGCUAAAUAUGACCUCGAGACCGAUAGGCACAA